Molecule: non-coding RNA, 5213 nt
Organism: Callithrix jacchus (white-tufted-ear marmoset)
Lineage: Eukaryota; Metazoa; Chordata; Mammalia; Primates; Cebidae
Source: RefSeq, a predicted model, not a curated record
UCAGAGCCCUGCAGAGAGCACAGGUUGCCGGGCAGCUGCAGCACAGCAUCAAGGCACCCACGGGCUGGCGAGACCCAGGCGGGCUGCGCCUGAGAAGCACAGGGUUCCACUUCCCAGACACGCUGCUUUCCAGCAGUGCUGUUUCUACUCUCAGGAAAGAAAAGAGGUUCAACUCAGGCUGCUCAGAAAGAAGGUGUUCCAGGAAGGGCAGAAAAGAGAGGCUGCUCUGGAAAAACAUAGAAGAGGUUGGCAGGGCGCAGAAUGCAGGAGAAGUCAGACCCUGGGAAUCCAAGAUGCCGCAACGCCAGGCAGCUGGUCCCCAGCAAGGCUGGCACGUGGAAACCUCGCGGAGAACAGUGAUUCAUAACCAAAGCAGAGCGCCCACAGCGACACUGGGCAGGCAUGGAACUAUUUUUCACAUGACACGUAUUUUAUUUUAAAAAAACAGUAAAUGACUUUCCUCUGCAUGGACUCUCUAUUUCUCUUGCCCUGGUUCUGGAGCUCUGUGGAGUGGUGGCCAAGAGCCAGUCCUGUCCCGUAUUUUUUUAUUGUCUUUCUGAGUUGGUCAGCAACUGAGGGAAUUGAGUAAAGUCACCCAGGUGGCUCCUGUCCGGUGCCUCGCUCCACCCCCUUCCAGCAGCCUCGUAGGUUACUUAACCGUGGAGCCUGGCAUUCUCCAGAUGCCCCUGCAGGGGGGAUUGCUUGGCUCUCUCCAGCACACAACCCAGUGGAACGCUCAGAGCAGAAGAAUUCUGUCAACUACCAGAUCGCGUUGUGAUUAACCCUUUCCUCCUGAGCCAGCCUGAGUGAAUACUGUGGGCUGUGACUGAGAACGGUGCCCCAUUUAAUCACUUUACUGUUUUUACGAUGGCCCCUCACAUGGGUGUGCUCUUUCCAGAGGAGGAAGUUGACGGGCUGACGGAGUUGCCUUUGCCGGACUCCUGGAGAGGAACGGUUCACCUUUUCAAGUUUCCUUAUGAAAGUCAUCAUUGUUUUCUGUCAACCUGAGCUGAGACCGUGACAGCACCAUGGGGCUGCUUCGGGAAGGUGUGGAGGGUCUCGGCCCCACCCACGUCCUGAGUCCUCCUCACCUCCCACCUUCCCCAGCCACGCCCUCCUGGAGCCACCAUCAGAAGCUGCCAGCCCAGGGCAGGAGCUUGUGGAUCAAACCCAGUUCAGGGCAGGUUCUGUGGGUAACUGGCCGCUGAGAGCAUCUAAAGAAUUAGGUUCCUGCUCCCAUAAUGACACCAUUCUCAGUUGCCAGCACCCCAAUGUGCUUUUCAGAGUGGGAGGGAAAGGGUGGACUUGGAGCCAGAGCCCCAGGGAGGUGUUUUGCACGUAAACUGGCACGCUGGGGAGGCAUGGAGAUGGGCAGCCCAGUCUGGCCCUGAUGCCCGAACCCAUCCCUCUUGUUCAAGGGCCUUUCCUCGUCACCUCCGGCCCGUCACACAGGCUGUGAGCACAUCUCUUCCUCCCCCCGGCCUUGGCUUAGUCCUUCUCUGCUGCUAAAACAAAAUGCCACACACUGGGUGCUUACACACAUCAGCAACGUUUGUUUCAGUCUAGAGCUGGGAGGUCCCAGGUGAAAGCACCAGCAGAUCUGGUGUCUGGUGAAGGCCCCAUUUCUCAUAGAUGGCACCUUCUUACUGUGUCCUCACGUGGUGGCACUGACAACCAUGUUCCCUCAGAGCUCUUUCAAAAGGGGACAAUCUCAUUCUUGAGGCUCCUCCUCCAUGGCCUAAUCACCUCCUGAUACCGUUACCUGAGGGGUGAGGACCUCACCCUGCGAACGCUGAGGGAACGCAAACCUUCAGCCCACAGUGUCUGGCCAGCGUCACCCUCUUCGGCUUCCCUUUGGUGGCUUGGCGCUUGGACUCACAAGUUCCCGUGACGAUAUCUUGCUCUCUGACUUCACCCUGACCAUGGCCAUCUGUCGUCCAUGAUGCUGCCAGCGCAGGAUGGAGCACGUCCUAGUCAAGUGUCUCCAGAGGACCCUUAGGUAUGGAUGGUGUGUGCAGCUCAGGGACCCCAGAAGGGAAGUGGGGAGUGAUUUGGGGGAGGGACAGUGACCCUCCAGGGGGAGUACUGUAAGCACAGAAGGCACAUGGGCGUUAAUCCUCUGGGGGAAGUUCUAGGGAAAAGAACUAUACUGGUGAGGGAGCUGGGGUAUUUGUACCCCCUGCCUGUUAGUCACUGGUCACGUGCUGCACUGAAACACAUUCAUUUAUUCUCCAUGAGCGCCUCAAAAGGCCCUGCUCUGUGUUAGGGGCACAAGCUCCCCUGUCCAGCCUGAGAUGGACCUGGUGUUCUCAGCCCACGUGCAGAGCCAGGAGGGUCAACAGGUCAACACACAGGACUGCAUCCCCCUCUGGCUCAGCUUCCCAACUUGGCUGAUGCCCCAGUGUGUGCAAGGGGGUCUUGCUCCAUCUUCCAGGGUACGGCUUGUGGUACCAGUGGGUGAGUGUGGGUCUCUGAAAAGUCCACUUUCACCACAAAGGGCCCUGAGUGGCUGCAGGCUCUGGGUUCAAUCCCAAGCUUCUCCAUCCCCAGUGGGACUGUCUUCUCACCACCAUGGCCAGGUGUGGUGACACCGCCCACCUCUUAGGGUUCUGGGAGGCUUGAGCUAUAUUUGUGUCAUGUGUAAAGUGAUAUAAUGUACACACAUUAUUAUUUUUGUUAUUACUUUGAAUUCUGAGCUGCCUGCCCUUUGAAAAUUCAGCAAGAAGCGGCCUGUGGUUGUCAGCUUCCAAUAUGGCCCCCAUCCCUCCAUCCCUGAGUGGCUCACAGGGACGAUCUGGUGACUGAGGGUGAUGGGACGUCACUUCUAUGACUACAUUGCAGAAGACACCUCUCGGAUGCCCUCUCACCUUCCUGCCUCCCUUAUGCUCGGGAAAGACAAUUGCCAAGGAGAAGACCACAGAGGUCCUUCUGCACCAGCUGCCAUUUUCCAGCAUGCCCCCUCCUCAACCUUCUGCACCUUUGCUGGUCCCAGAGCUGAGAUGCUGGUCUCUGUCUGACGGCCUUCCAUGCCCCCUCUGAGCCCACUCCCUUCACCCAAGGAGAACUUCCAGGAGCCCCAGGCAGAGUUAGCAGCCUUGGCCUCUGAGAUCCAACAGCACAUUGUGCAGACUCAGCGGUACCAGGUCUUCCGUGGAGAAGACGGCACGUGAGUGUACUUUACAUGGGCUCUUGUUACCCCUGGCUCCUGGUGUUUGUGUCUGUUCAGUCUUCAGGGAAGCAGAUUCUUCCACAGUCGAGGCUCAGAUGAGACCAUAGCCCUGGCUGACAUUUUGAUUGGAACCUUGUGAGAUGCAAAGCUAAGCUGUGACCCCGACCCACAGAAUGUUGAGACCCUGAUGCCCGCAAGUCCAAGUGGGUGAGACCCAGAGGCUGAUGGAACGCGGCUCUGUCCUCCUGUGGUUCCCAGGGGUGUCCCGUGCCCUCCUCCUGGAAAUCAGAUGCCCAGAAAACUGACUGGAGGAGCCACUGGCCACUGAAUGAGGCAAGGACAUUCUUUAGGCAGUGUAAGUAACUGAAUUGCCUGUGAAUGUUAGAGACAAGCUUAUGUAAAAAGUUGGUACGAGAGCUGUAAUGAAAAUGAUUACAAGGUAUAACAAGAAGACAAAAGUCACAGAGCCAGAAAUUAAGGACACUAAACAGAGAAACAAAGAGCAAAGCAUCGGACUGCAAAUGGCAGGGUUCGGAGCCGCUGUGUAAACAGUGUCGAGCCUCGGGAAAAGCCCCGGGCUGCCUGCUGGGAAAGCUUAUUGCUAGAAUGUGCUUAGCCCAGUGGAAACAGAAACAUUCUCCACAUUGAUCCAGGGUGGGAAAGCCAACUGAGGAGCUGUGUCUCUGCCUGACAUGCUGGCCCGGCCACUCAAAGUCACCCAAAACGUGAGCAGGAGGCUCGGGCAGGUCACACUGCCUAUCUGUGCCAUCAGAACACACGGCCUGCAGGCACCAGGGAAGCGGAGGUGACAGAGCCGUCUCCUUGCUGUCCUUAUCGGUGCAAUGGAGAUCCCCCGCUGUGUCCAGUCUCCCACCCAGACUCCCCUACGGAAAGACCCUCCAUCUUCCACCAAAUGCAAACCCAGCCCAGCACCUGGAGGAGACCUGCCCUGGGAAUCCCAGGUUCUGGCUCCGAGUCUAAGCACUGUGCUGUGUGAGCUUGGCUAGGUCACUGUGCCACUGUGGGCCUUGGCUUCCUUAUCAGCAAGACUGAGGGGUUAAGUUCCAUCAGUUUAUUCAACGUGGAGCCUGGAACCUGAGGAUAUCAUCUGCUCUGAGGCUCCCCCCUGGGGGAUUUUGACUUCCAACUCCUGACCUCGAUGGUGUGACAGCAACUUCGGCCCUGGAUCCACUCUGAAGGAAGCACAUUUUUCUCUCUCCCCUCAAAUUAUAGGCCUUACCAUACCUCCCGAGUCACAUUACAGAAGUUUCCCCUCAGCACAGCCAUCUGACAUUUUACAUUUAGUCAUUAGAAAUACAUCGUGCAUGAGGUUCACUCUGACCUCCUGAUCCUCUUCCACUCUCCUAGUGUCCAGUGGGUUAGGAAAGGUGCACAGCCAUGAGGAGCACGAGGCCAUGGGACUCCGUGACUUGGUCUGAGUAAGGCAAUGCCUGGACUGUAACUCAGGACCUGCUACCAGAGGACUGGUGACCCAGCCCUGCCCUGCCCCUUGCAAGUCCAACCUGAGAACUAAAAAUAAAAUCCUAAGCACCCCAACCACAGAAAAGACCCUCAGCUUGGCCAAGGGGACCCCAGGAAAACCUUGACAUUGAGUUCCCAGCCAUGAUGCGCCUCUUUAUGCCCGCUUCCUUCUGUGGUUUAGACACAACAGCUGACCAGCGUUAGUGUUAAAAUAGAGACAGUAGGACCGCUGGAUGGGCCGGGCGCGGUGGCUCACACCUGUAAUCCCAGCACUUUGGGAGGCCAAGGCAGGCGGAUCCCCUGAGGUCAGGAGUUCAAGAUCAGCCUGACCAACACGGCAAAACCCUGCCUCUACUAAAAAUACAAACUUUAGCCAGGCAUGGUGGUGGGUGCCUGUUGCCCCAGAUACUCAGGAGGUUGAGGCAGGAGAACGGUUUGAACCCAGGAGGCAGAGGUUCCGGUGAGCUGAGAUUGUGCCACUGCACUGCAGCCGGGUGAUCGAGUGAGACCCCAUCUUAGAAAAGAAGGCUGGUGGAUGGACUGUUUGUGUCAAGAUAUCAAA